Molecule: ribosomal RNA, 496 nt
Filed under: uncultured bacterium
Lineage: Bacteria
Description: partial 16S ribosomal RNA
Rfam family: Bacterial small subunit ribosomal RNA
Source: RNAcentral
GAUGAACGCUGGCGGCGUGCCUAAUACAUGCAAGUCGAGCGAACAGACGAGGAGCUUGCUCCUCUGACGUUAGCGGCGGACGGGUGAGUAACACGUGGAUAACCUACCUAUAAGACUGGGAUAACUUCGGGAAACCGGAGCUAAUACCGGAUAAUAUAUUGAACCGCAUGGUUCAAUAGUGAAAGACGGUUUUGCUGUCACUUAUAGAUGGAUCCGCGCCGCAUUAGCUAGUUGGUAAGGUAACGGCUUACCAAGGCAACGAUGCGUAGCCGACCUGAGAGGGUGAUCGGCCACACUGGAACUGAGACACGGUCCAGACUCCGACGGGAGGCAGCAGUAGGGAAUCUUCCGCAAUGGGCGAAAGCCUGACGGAGCAACGCGGCGUGAGUGAUGAAGGUCUUCGGAUCGUAAAACUCUGUUAUUAGGGAAGAACAAAUGUGUAAGUAACUAUGCACGUCUUGACGGUACCUAAUCAGAAAGCCACGGCUAACUACGU